Non-coding RNA from Xiphias gladius (swordfish), 272 nucleotides. RefSeq annotates it as small Cajal body-specific RNA 6. The record is from RefSeq and is a predicted model, not a curated record. The transcript has a single exon. NCBI's taxonomy places the organism in Eukaryota, Metazoa, Chordata, Actinopteri, Istiophoriformes, Xiphiidae.
GGUCAGUGAUGUGAUGUAAAAGGUCUGAAUCUUAGCUCCUCCCCCUCAGCUGCCAUUUUGGCUCCCAGCAGUACCUGCUCUCUGCUACCAUCAUGCUCUAGUGGUGCAGUGGUGGUCUCAGGAGCUGCUGACAGACAGGAAGUGACAUCACAUUGAGUCUGUACAGAGAUCCUAUAGGCUCAGUGUGACGACAUCCAACAGAACUAAUCAGCACGGAGCGUCAGGCUGAGGGGGCGGGGUCUGAGAGAUGAUCUCACUCUGCUACUGAGACC